RNAcentral lists this long non-coding RNA (222 nucleotides) under Mustela putorius furo (domestic ferret). Its description in RNAcentral is "lncRNA (ENSMPUG00000028907.1)". The record is from RNAcentral. Lineage: Eukaryota; Metazoa; Chordata; Mammalia; Carnivora; Mustelidae.
CUUGGGACACAGUGUCUCUAAGAUGAGCUAGAAGAUGACUUUCACAGGUGGUUUUGAAGACUGAAUCCAAUUCGUGUGGAUAAAAACUACAAGGCAUAGAGUGAACUCCUACACCUGAAUACUCUUGGUGCAGCGGGCUCCUUCCCAAGAGAAGGUGGACUUCAUCUUCCUCCCCACCACGAAGCCUCUCAUAGACUGACCCCAGCUCACAUCUGGACCCAG